Molecule: ribosomal RNA, 332 nt
Filed under: uncultured eukaryote
Lineage: Eukaryota
Description: partial 18S ribosomal RNA
Rfam family: Eukaryotic small subunit ribosomal RNA
Source: RNAcentral
CAAUAGCGUAUAUUAAAGUUGUUGCAGUUAAAAAGCUCGUAGUUGAAUUUCGGGUCCCCGCGCUCGGCGCUUCAUUGUGCCGUCGUGGUGUCCCUCCUCGCCGUAAGGCGUCCUUUACUGUGAAAAAAUUAGAGUGUUCAAAGCAGGCAAUCGCUUGAAUACAUUAACAUGGAAUAAUAAGAUAGGAUCUUGUCUAUUUUGUUGGUUGCGGACAACGAUAAUGAUUAAUAGGGAUAGUUGGGGGUGUCCGUAUUGAGCUGUCAGAGGUGAAAUUCUUGGAUUUGCUCAAGACGAACUACUGCGAAAGCAUUCACCAAGGAUGUUUUCAUUAA